GGCGGUGUAGCUCAGCUGGCUAGAGCGUACGGUUCAUACCCGUGAGGGCGGGGGUUCGAUCCCCUCCACCGCCA
This 74-nucleotide transfer RNA is filed under the name Staphylococcus epidermidis. RNAcentral's name for it is "tRNA-Met". It matches the Rfam family "tRNA". Rfam says of the family: Transfer RNA (tRNA) molecules are approximately 80 nucleotides in length. RNAcentral also lists the same sequence under 1 other name. The record is from RNAcentral. Lineage: Bacteria; Bacillati; Bacillota; Bacilli; Caryophanales; Staphylococcaceae.